CCUACGGGAGGCUGCAGUGAGGAAUAUUGGUCAAUGGACGCACGUCUGAACCAGCCAUGCCGCGUGCAGGAAGACGGCUCUAUGAGUUGUAACCUGCUUUUGUACGAGGGUAAACGCAGAUACGCGUAUCUGUCUGAAAGUAUCGUACGAAUAAGGAUCGGCUAACUCCGUGCCAGCAGCCGCGGUAAUACGGAGGAUUCAAGCGUUAUCCGGAUUUAUUGGGUUUAAAGGGUGCGUAGGCGGUCGGAUAAGUUAGAGGUGAAAUCCCGAGGCUCAACUUCGGAAUUGCCUCUGAUACUGUUCGGAUAGAGAGUAGUUGCGGUAGGCGGAAUGUAUGGUGUAGCGGUGAAAUGCUUAGAGAUCAGACAGAACACCGAUUGCGAAGGCAGCUUACCAAGCUACUUCUGACGUUGAGGCACGAAAGCGUGGGGAGCAAACAGGAUUAGAUACCCUAGUAGUC
RNAcentral lists this ribosomal RNA (460 nucleotides) under uncultured bacterium. RNAcentral's name for it is "partial 16S ribosomal RNA". It matches the Rfam family "Bacterial small subunit ribosomal RNA", at positions 338 to 795 of the family's 1533-position model. The record is from RNAcentral.